GCAAGAUCUGUAGCAGUAGAGUAGCCUUGUUGCUACGAUCUGCUGAGGCUUAGCCUUUGUUCUACAGAUUUGUGCUUUUGCACUCUCUCAGCAUAUUUUGGAUCGGAGGGUUUAAAGACUCUGACUAUGGUAUGCUAAGACAGUGAAAACGUACAAGUUCGUACAAGUUCGUGGAUGGAAGUUCGUGGGUGGUUGGUCUCACAUCAUCGGCUGAGUCUAGAGGAUGCUUAAGUUCAUACAGAGCUUGGGCAUGCUUUGGGCUCAGCCAUUUUGCGUUAAGGGGGUGUGGCAGUUCCAGUAUAUGAGUGCAAUUUGAACAUACUAGUAUCUACGGCCAUAGGACUCAGAAAAUACCGCAUCCCGUCCGAUCUGCGAGUCAAGCUGA
Molecule: unclassified non-coding RNA, 385 nt
Filed under: Apiotrichum laibachii
Lineage: Eukaryota; Fungi; Basidiomycota; Tremellomycetes; Trichosporonales; Trichosporonaceae
Source: RNAcentral